UCCACUUACAUGAUUCAUUUGAAU
RNAcentral lists this non-coding RNA (24 nucleotides) under Arabidopsis thaliana (thale cress). The record is from RNAcentral. Lineage: Eukaryota; Viridiplantae; Streptophyta; Magnoliopsida; Brassicales; Brassicaceae.